GGAAAGAGGAGAGAAGGAAGAAGAGGGAAGAAAGGGGGUAGAACCUGGGAAGAUGGUGGUAAUCUGAUCCAAGCAACACAGUUGGUGCUUGGGCACAAGCAUGUUCCCAUUCUUAGAACUAGAAUCCAAGUGAAGGUUCUAGCGAGAAAAGGGAAUGCUCCUGUGUGUCUGGACAGCCUGGGCCAGAUGAGCACGCUUCUUCAAGUUACCAGGGUGAAAGGCAAAAGCAAGCUGCUUUCUUGCCCAGGAAGCUGCCUUAGGCACCAUGGUCCAGCAGUCCUCUCACCCUGGAUGCCACCUUGAAUCAGAGGAAUUCUACCUGUAUAGAUGUAGAUUACAACAGCUAAAAAAAAAGCUCUGAGAAGAACAGAAACCUCUUCUUCACCUUCCUUUCAAGGACCCGUAACACAUGAAAUUCAACAAACAGGAUGUAGUCCUUGGGGAGAGAAGAGAGAGAAAUACUCAGGAUAAUUAAGAUGAGCCAAACAUUCCAAGCAAGGAGAAUGCUGUAAUCAAAGGAACAGAGAGAGCAAGAAUGGAUAAUCCAAUUUGGCUGAAGCUAAGAAUUCAUCUAGGAGAGCAGUAAGAAAAUGAUUUUCCUAAGCCUAAGACUGAACAAU
Long non-coding RNA from Sarcophilus harrisii (Tasmanian devil), 620 nucleotides. RefSeq lists it as uncharacterized. Lineage: Eukaryota; Metazoa; Chordata; Mammalia; Dasyuromorphia; Dasyuridae. The record is from RefSeq and is a predicted model, not a curated record. The transcript has 5 exons.